This is an RNA transcript of Camelus dromedarius (Arabian camel), 3122 nucleotides long. It is a transcript of the gene named serine/threonine kinase 11, with no coding region annotated. NCBI's taxonomy places the organism in Eukaryota, Metazoa, Chordata, Mammalia, Artiodactyla, Camelidae. The record is from RefSeq and is a predicted model, not a curated record. The transcript is spliced from 10 exons.
UUGACUUUUUUUGGGGGGGGGAGGGAAUUUUUUUGGAGGGGGCGCAAAAGGAAGAACUGCUCACCGGGGGAAUACACUAAGGGCAUAAGGGACCGCCGGCAGGAGUCGGAAGCCUGGGGUCCAGGAUGGAUGUGGCGGACCCGCAGCAGCUGGGCAUGUUUACAGAGGGCGAGCUGAUGUCGGUGGGGAUGGACACGUUUAUUCACCGCAUCGACUCUACCGAGGUCAUCUACCAGCCCCGCCGCAAGCGGGCCAAACUCAUCGGCAAGUACCUGAUGGGGGACCUGCUGGGGGAGGGGUCGUACGGCAAGGUGAAGGAGGUGCUGGACUCGGAGACCCUGUGCAGGAGGGCUGUCAAAAUCCUCAAGAAGAAGAAGUUGCGGAGGAUCCCCAACGGGGAGGCCAAUGUGAAAAAGGAGAUCCAGCUCCUGCGGAGGCUGCGGCACAAGAACGUCAUCCAACUGGUGGAUGUGUUGUACAACGAAGAGAAGCAGAAGAUGUAUAUGGUGAUGGAGUACUGCGUGUGUGGCAUGCAAGAGAUGCUGGACAGCGUGCCUGAGAAGCGCUUCCCCGUGAGCCAGGCCCACGGGUACUUCUGCCAGCUGGUGGACGGCCUGGAGUACCUGCACAGCCAGGGCAUCGUGCACAAGGACAUUAAGCCCGGCAACCUGCUGCUCACCACUGGCGGCACUCUCAAGAUCUCCGACCUGGGCGUGGCUGAGGCCCUGCACCCGUUUGCCGAGGAUGACACGUGCCGGACAAGCCAGGGCUCCCCCGCGUUCCAGCCGCCUGAGAUUGCCAAUGGCUUGGACACCUUCUCGGGCUUCAAGGUGGACAUCUGGUCGGCUGGGGUCACGCUCUACAACAUCACGACAGGCCUGUACCCGUUCGAGGGGGACAACAUCUACAAGCUGUUUGAGAACAUCGGGAAGGGGGACUACACGAUCCCUGGCGACUGCGGCCCCCCACUCUCGGACCUGCUGAAAGGGAUGCUGGAAUACGAGCCGGCCAAGAGGUUUUCCAUACAGCAGAUCAGACAGCACAGCUGGUUCCGGAAGAAGCACCCGCCGGCCGAGGAGCUGGUGCCCAUCCCGCCGAGCGCAGACUGCAAGGACCGGUGGCGUGGCAUGACGGUGGUGCCAUACCUGGAGGACCUGCACGGCUGUGCCGACGACGUGGACGAGGAGCUCCUCGACAUUGAGGACGACAUCAUCUACACUCAGGACUUCACGGUGCCCGGUGGCGAGGCGGUGUCUGAGGCAGGGCUUAGAGAGAGAGGCCCGCGGAAGAGCCAGUGCUCAGAACUUUCUGGAGAGGAGGCGGAGGCCAGGGCCACUGCGGAGCUCCUGGCAGGGCCGGGGACUUAGCGUGGCACUGCCGCGCCCCUGCGGGCCCUCGCUGACCUUGUCUGGGUCUGAGGGAGGCUGGGCCACUGCCCACCCCACAGCAUCCCGGUUCUGUGCUGGCCUGGGGCUGGAUCCGCAGGCUCCUGGCAUAAAGGUCUGCCCCGCUGAGUGUGUGCGGCUCGUGCUUGCCUCUUGCGGCUCACCAGCCAGGUCCUAAGGCUUCUACUGUAGCAAGUGCCUGUGAGCAGGGCCGCUGCAGGGCCCAGGGCUUCCAGGGAGCGGGCCCUGGGCGGGUCUGGUGUCCUGCUCUCCUGGUGUCAGGCUCGCGUCUCUGGUGCCUGUGGCAGCCAGCGGCGGGGUCAGCCUGGAGCUUGUGCCUCUCUGGCUUGGGCUCAGCCAUAUCCCUGUUGGGGUCCUAGGGUCUGGAGCUCUUGGAUGUGGUGUGUGUGGUGCCCCUGGCCCUGGGACCCUGGCCACAGUUGAGUCCUGGGUCUGAGGCCUCCUGGAGCCUCAGUCCACUCCGCAGAACAGGAACCAGGUGUCAUGCCUCUCAGAGACACGUGGGCCCACCGCGGGUGCCUGGGUGUGGCCCACCGGGCCCCCAGAGUCUUGCCGGGCAUUGACUGUCCCUCCAGGCCUAUGCCGGAGGCCGGGUGCUGCUUUUCCCGGUGGGGGGGGAAGCUCAUCCAAGAGUGCUUCUCUGGGCCCAAUUGGGUCCCUGGCCCAGGUGUGUCCCCCAUGCCAGACAUGGGACAUCUGGCCCCGAGGUCAGGCCGCUGCCUCUCUCUGACCUACUCGCCGGUCAGCAGCUGGCUGUCCACGGCUCAGACCUCUCUCACUCCCGCCCUGGCCCUACUCAGACUUCCCGCUGCUUGCGUUGACCUCCUGGGCUGUCCCUGGUCCUGCCGCCCACCUCAGAGCUGGGUGUGGGCCUGCUGCUGGUGUUGGUUGGUCUGGGCCAGUGAGGGGAUCACAUGCCCACCAGCCGCCCUCUACCCAGAGUCACUGCACUGGGGGCUGGGCUCUGGGUGAUCUGUGCACGGCCCCUCCCUGCUGGAGCAGGUGCCUGACACCCCUGGUGCUCAGAGUUCUGACUUGAGAUGCUUCUCGUGCAUAGGCGGGUGGGCUCUUGGCAAGUCUGGCGGCUACCGAGUAGGGAGUAGGCAGUGGACGCUGUUGGAGAUGGGGCUUGCAUGGGGAGGAGAGGGGCUCGAGACAGCGGAGGGCGGUUUCUUGCCGAUGUCCGCAGGAGGAGGGUGGCUGAGUGCACAGCACCCUCCAUCCCCCACGCCUCGGCGGGAGCUCAAAACGCGGGGCAAAAUGUGGGGUGUGCAGCCCAGGCCAAUGGCCCUGCAGGAUGCCUGUGAGGGCUGGCGGCCUGCAGAGAGGAUGGGUGGAGUGCAUGGGCCCCAUGCCAAUCCCUCUGUUGGUGCCCGGCAUGGAGAGCCGAGGUGGGCCUUUGUGGGAGAGACAUAGGGUCUCCCCACAGGCUGGCGAGGUCUGACUGUCACACAGGUGAGAACCCAGGCUUGGGCCCCGGGCCCCUGGUCCUUCACUGUGCUCCCACAGCAGAGGGCGAGCAGGGCAGCCCAGGCCCACCUGAGUGCAGACGCCCCAGCUCACAUCUGAACAAGCAGGACAGGUCCCAGACGAGGAGACCAGUCAGAGCGGACAGAGCAGGGGCUUGCCCAAGGCCUUGUGUGUGAAUGGCACAGAAUCAGCCCAGCUGAGCACCAAAUCCAGGGUGGAGCGCCGGGCCAGUGCCACCUCCAACCC